This is a long non-coding RNA of Zalophus californianus (California sea lion), 362 nucleotides long. RefSeq lists it as uncharacterized. The transcript has 3 exons. The record is from RefSeq and is a predicted model, not a curated record. Lineage: Eukaryota; Metazoa; Chordata; Mammalia; Carnivora; Otariidae.
AGUAACAACGUGGUGAGUCUGGAGAAGGAAACUGACCCGCCGGGCAGACGAGAGCUGGUGCAGUCAUUGCCACGAUAGAUCCUCCCAGGGACUGGAGUUUACCUCACUGCUAGGACCGAGGUCUGGAAAAGGAUGACUUCCACACCAGGACAUGGAGUCGGAACCCACCCGCGUUGCUGAUCAUUUCAAGUUUAAAGGUUAGGAGAGUCGGAGGCAGAAAGUCAUGCAUAAACCAAUCAAUUGCUGGAAGAAGGAAGGCCCUUCACGAGCUUCUGCACUCCUGUGUUGGAUACCUUUCAUUUCCCACAGCAGGGAUACAUUCAGUAUGGAUAAAGUAGCUUGGAGCAUUUUUACUGGACUUU